This 344-nucleotide transfer-messenger RNA is filed under the name Rhodocyclaceae bacterium. It matches the Rfam family "Betaproteobacteria transfer-messenger RNA". From Rfam's summary of the family: Bacterial tmRNA, also known as 10Sa RNA or SsrA, is named for its dual tRNA and mRNA-like properties. Its role is to liberate the mRNA from a stalled ribosome. The record is from RNAcentral. Lineage: Bacteria; Pseudomonadati; Pseudomonadota; Betaproteobacteria; Rhodocyclales; Rhodocyclaceae.
GACGAUGUGACGACUUGAAAUUCCCCGCUGCCAGCCCCAUAAUGGCGACAUGGUUGUAAUUCCGGCGAUCCGGAGACGUUCUGGACAGGGGUUCGAUUCCCCUCACCUCCACCCAAGGGCACACGCCGAGCCUUGAAGCGACGAUACCCUUGGGUGGGGGUGCACUGGCUUCGACAGGGCGGACGAAGGAAAGCAGGCAACCCGAAAGGCGACGAACGUAAUUCGCGCAAACCCACAAACGCCAACGAUGAGCGUUUCGCACUGGCCGCCUAAGGCCAAUGCCGAGGCCGCUUGAGCCUUGUCACCCAAGAAAAGCCGGCGGGCGCUUUCAGCGCCCGUCGUCA